GCCCGGGUGGCGGAAUGGGCAGACGCAAGGGACUUAAAAUCCCUUGGGGUGAAAACCCCGUGCGGGUUCGACUCCCGCCCCGGGCA
RNAcentral lists this transfer RNA (86 nucleotides) under Gemmatimonadota bacterium. RNAcentral's name for it is "tRNA-Leu". It matches the Rfam family "tRNA". From Rfam's summary of the family: Transfer RNA (tRNA) molecules are approximately 80 nucleotides in length. Their secondary structure includes four short double-helical elements and three loops (D, anti-codon, and T loops). Lineage: Bacteria; Pseudomonadati; Gemmatimonadota. RNAcentral also lists the same sequence under 1 other name. The record is from RNAcentral.